RNAcentral lists this ribosomal RNA (447 nucleotides) under uncultured bacterium. RNAcentral's name for it is "bacterial SSU rRNA". It matches the Rfam family "Bacterial small subunit ribosomal RNA", at positions 329 to 793 of the family's 1533-position model. The record is from RNAcentral.
GGCCAGACUCCUACGGGAGGCAGCAGUGGGGAAUAUUGCACAAUGGGGGGAACCCUGAUGCAGCGACGCCGCGUGGGUGAAGAAGCGCCUCGGCGCGUAAAGCCCUGUCAGCAGGGAAGAAAAUGACGGUACCUGAAGAAGAAGCCCCGGCUAACUACGUGCCAGCAGCCGCGGUAAUACGUAGGGGGCAAGCGUUAUCCGGAUUUACUGGGUGUAAAGGGGGCGCAGACGGCGAUGCAAGCCAGGAGUGAAAGCUCGGGGCCCAACCCCGGGACUGCUCUUGGAACUGCGUGGCUGGAGUGCAGGAGGGGCAGGCGGAAUUCCUGGUGUAGCUGUGAAAUGCGUAGAUAUCAGGAGGAACACCGGUGGCGAAGGCGGCCUGCUGGACUGCAACUGACGUUGAGGCCCGAAAGCGUGGGGAGCAAACAGGAUUAGAUACCCGAGUAU